GACGAAUGCUGGCGGCGUGCUUAACACAUGCAAGUCGAACGGUGAAAGCGGAGCUUGCUCCGCUGGAUCAGUGGCGAACGGGUGAGUAACACGUGGGCAACCUGCCCCUCACUUCGGGAUAACUCCGGGAAACCGGGGCUAAUACCGGAUAUGACCUCCUUGGGCAUCCUUGGGGGUGGAAAGUUUUUCGGUGAGGGAUGGGCCCGCGGCCUAUCAGCUUGUUGGUGAGGUAGUGGCUCACCAAGGCGACGACGGGUAGCCGGCCUGAGAGGGCGACCGGCCACACCGGGACUGAGACACGGCCCAGACUCCUACGGGAGGCAGCAGUGGGGAAUAUUGCGCAAUGGGCGAAAGCCUGACGCAGCAACGCCGCGUGCGGGAUGACGGCCUUCGGGUUGUAAACCGCUUUCAGCAGGGAAGAAGCCGCAAGGUGACGGUACCUGCAGAAGAAGCACCGGCUAACUACGUGCCAGCAGCCGCGGUAA
Molecule: ribosomal RNA, 485 nt
Filed under: uncultured bacterium
Lineage: Bacteria
Description: partial 16S ribosomal RNA
Rfam family: Bacterial small subunit ribosomal RNA
Source: RNAcentral